AUGCCUACGGGCCAAAGAGGGGGACCUUCGGGCCUCUCGCGUCAGGAUAUGCCUAGGUGGGAUUAGCUAGUUGGUGAGGUAAGGGCUCACCAAGGCGACGAUCCCUAGCUGGUCUGAGAGGAUGAUCAGCCACACUGGAACUGAGACACGGUCCAGACUCCUACGGGAGGCAGCAGUGGGGAAUAUUGCACAAUGGGCGCAAGCCUGAUGCAGCCAUGCCGCGUGUGUGAAGAAGGCCUUCGGGUUGUAAAGCACUUUCAGUCGUGAGGAAGGUAGUGUAGUUAAUAGCUGCAUUAUUUGACGUUAGCGACAGAAGAAGCACCGGCUAACUCCGUGCCAGCAGCCGCGGUAAUACGGAGGGUGCGAGCGUUAAUCGGAAUUACUGGGCGUAAAGCGCAUGCAGGUGGUUUGUUAAGUCAGAUGUGAAAGCCCGGGGCUCAACCUCGGAAUUGCAUUUGAAACUGGCAGACUAGAGUACUGUAGAGGGGGG
RNAcentral lists this ribosomal RNA (490 nucleotides) under Vibrio parahaemolyticus. Its description in RNAcentral is "bacterial SSU rRNA". It matches the Rfam family "Bacterial small subunit ribosomal RNA", at positions 190 to 661 of the family's 1533-position model. Lineage: Bacteria; Pseudomonadati; Pseudomonadota; Gammaproteobacteria; Vibrionales; Vibrionaceae. The record is from RNAcentral.